RNAcentral lists this unclassified non-coding RNA (346 nucleotides) under soil metagenome. RNAcentral describes it as "partial contains 5.8S ribosomal RNA, internal transcribed spacer 2, and large subunit ribosomal RNA". The stretch from base 1 to 121 matches the Rfam family "5.8S ribosomal RNA", at positions 35 to 154 of the family's 154-position model. The record is from RNAcentral.
GAUGAAGGAACGCAGCGAAAUGCGAUACGUAAUGUGAAUUGCAGAAUUCAGUGAAUCAUCGAGUCUUUGAACGCACAUUGCGCCCCCUGGUAUUCCGGGGGGCAUGCCUGUCCGAGCGUCAUUGCUGCCCUCAAGCACGGCUUGUGUGUUGGGCCUCCGUCCUCCUCCCGGGGGACGGGCCCGAAAGGCAGCGGCGGCACCGCGUCCGGUCCUCGAGCGUAUGGGGCUUCGUCACCCGCUCUUGUAGGCCCGGCCGGCGCUUGCCGACACAUCAAUCUUUUUUCCAGGUUGACCUCGGAUCAGGUAGGGAUACCCGCUGAACUUAAGCAUAUCAAUAAGCGGAGGA